CACUUAGGAAUCUACCUAGUAGUGGGGGAGUAGCUCGGGGAACGUCGAUUAAUACCGCAUACGACCUACGGGAGAAGGGGCGAGUUUACUUGCUCUCGCUAUUAGAUGAGCCUAAGUCGGAUUAGCUAGAUGGUGGGGUAAAGGCCUACCAUGGCGACGAUCUGUAGCUGGUCUGAGAGGAUGAUCAGCCACACCGGGACUGAGACACGGCCCGGACUCCUACGGGAGGCAGCAGUGGGGAAUAUUGGACAAUGGGGCGAACCCUGAUCCAGCCAUGCCGCGUGUGUGAAGAAGGCCUUU
RNAcentral lists this ribosomal RNA (300 nucleotides) under uncultured Psychrobacter sp. Its description in RNAcentral is "bacterial SSU rRNA". It matches the Rfam family "Bacterial small subunit ribosomal RNA", at positions 114 to 419 of the family's 1533-position model. Lineage: Bacteria; Pseudomonadati; Pseudomonadota; Gammaproteobacteria; Moraxellales; Moraxellaceae. The record is from RNAcentral.